UUAAGCGACUAAGCGUACACGGUGGAUGCCCUGGCAGUCAGAGGCGAUGAAGGACGUGCUAAUCUGCGAUAAGCGUCGGUAAGGUGAUAUGAACCGUUAUAACCGGCGAUUUCCGAAUGGGGAAACCCAGUGUGUUUCGACACACUAUCAUUAACUGAAUCCAUAGGUUAAUGAGGCGAACCGGGGGAACUGAAACAUCUAAGUACCCCGAGGAAAAGAAAUCAACCGAGAUUCCCCCAGUAGCGGCGAGCGAACGGGGAGCAGCCCAGAGCCUGAAUCAGUGUGUGUGUUAGUGGAAGCGUCUGGAAAGGCGCGCGAUACAGGGUGACAGCCCCGUACACAAAAAUGCACAUGCUGUGAGCUCGAUGAGUAGGGCGGGACACGUGGUAUCCUGUCUGAAUAUGGGGGGACCAUCCUCCAAGGCUAAAUACUCCUGACUGACCGAUAGUGAACCAGUACCGUGAGGGAAAGGCGAAAAGAACCCCGGCGAGGGGAGUGAAAAAGAACCUGAAACCGUGUACGUACAAGCAGUGGGAGCACGCUUAGGCGUGUGACUGCGUACCUUUUGUAUAAUGGGUCAGCGACUUAUAUUCUGUAGCAAGGUUAACCGAAUAGGGGAGCCGAAGGGAAACCGAGUCUUAACUGGGCGUUAAGUUGCAGGGUAUAGACCCGAAACCCGGUGAUCUAGCCAUGGGCAGGUUGAAGGUUGGGUAACACUAACUGGAGGACCGAACCGACUAAUGUUGAAAAAUUAGCGGAUGACUUGUGGCUGGGGGUGAAAGGCCAAUCAAACCGGGAGAUAGCUGGUUCUCCCCGAAAGCUAUUUAGGUAGCGCCUCGUGAAUUCAUCUCCGGGGGUAGAGCACUGUUUCGGCAAGGGGGUCAUCCCGACUUACCAACCCGAUGCAAACUGCGAAUACCGGAGAAUGUUAUCACGGGAGACACACGGCGGGUGCUAACGUCCGUCGUGAAGAGGGAAACAACCCAGACCGCCAGCUAAGGUCCCAAAGUCAUGGUUAAGUGGGAAACGAUGUGGGAAGGCCCAGACAGCCAGGAUGUUGGCUUAGAAGCAGCCAUCAUUUAAAGAAAGCGUAAUAGCUCACUGGUCGAGUCGGCCUGCGCGGAAGAUGUAACGGGGCUAAACCAUGCACCGAAGCUGCGGCAGCGACGCUGAUGCGUUGUUGGGUAGGGGAGCGUUCUGUAAGCCUGCGAAGGUGUGCUGUGAGGCAUGCUGGAGGUAUCAGAAGUGCGAAUGCUGACAUAAGUAACGAUAAAGCGGGUGAAAAGCCCGCUCGCCGGAAGACCAAGGGUUCCUGUCCAACGUUAAUCGGGGCAGGGUGAGUCGACCCCUAAGGCGAGGCCGAAAGGCGUAGUCGAUGGGAAACAGGUUAAUAUUCCUGUACUUGGUGUUACUGCGAAGGGGGGACGGAGAAGGCUAUGUUGGCCGGGCGACGGUUGUCCCGGUUUAAGCGUGUAGGCUGGUUUUCCAGGCAAAUCCGGAAAAUCAAGGCUGAGGCGUGAUGACGAGGCACUACGGUGCUGAAGCAACAAAUGCCCUGCUUCCAGGAAAAGCCUCUAAGCAUCAGGUAACAUCAAAUCGUACCCCAAACCGACACAGGUGGUCAGGUAGAGAAUACCAAGGCGCUUGAGAGAACUCGGGUGAAGGAACUAGGCAAAAUGGUGCCGUAACUUCGGGAGAAGGCACGCUGAUAUGUAGGUGAAGUCCCUUGCGGAUGGAGCUGAAAUCAGUCGAAGAUACCAGCUGGCUGCAACUGUUUAUUAAAAACACAGCACUGUGCAAACACGAAAGUGGACGUAUACGGUGUGACGCCUGCCCGGUGCCGGAAGGUUAAUUGAUGGGGUCAGCGCAAGCGAAGCUCUUGAUCGAAGCCCCGGUAAACGGCGGCCGUAACUAUAACGGUCCUAAGGUAGCGAAAUUCCUUGUCGGGUAAGUUCCGACCUGCACGAAUGGCGUAAUGAUGGCCAGGCUGUCUCCACCCGAGACUCAGUGAAAUUGAACUCGCUGUGAAGAUGCAGUGUACCCGCGGCAAGACGGAAAGACCCCGUGAACCUUUACUAUAGCUUGACACUGAACAUUGAGCCUUGAUGUGUAGGAUAGGUGGGAGGCUUUGAAGUGUGGACGCCAGUCUGCAUGGAGCCGACCUUGAAAUACCACCCUUUAAUGUUUGAUGUUCUAACGUGGACCCGUGAUCCGGGUUGCGGACAGUGUCUGGUGGGUAGUUUGACUGGGGCGGUCUCCUCCUAAAGAGUAACGGAGGAGCACGAAGGUUGGCUAAUCCUGGUCGGACAUCAGGAGGUUAGUGCAAUGGCAUAAGCCAGCUUGACUGCGAGCGUGACGGCGCGAGCAGGUGCGAAAGCAGGUCAUAGUGAUCCGGUGGUUCUGAAUGGAAGGGCCAUCGCUCAACGGAUAAAAGGUACUCCGGGGAUAACAGGCUGAUACCGCCCAAGAGUUCAUAUCGACGGCGGUGUUUGGCACCUCGAUGUCGGCUCAUCACAUCCUGGGGCUGAAGUAGGUCCCAAGGGUAUGGCUGUUCGCCAUUUAAAGUGGUACGCGAGCUGGGUUUAGAACGUCGUGAGACAGUUCGGUCCCUAUCUGCCGUGGGCGCUGGAGAACUGAGGGGGGCUGCUCCUAGUACGAGAGGACCGGAGUGGACGCAUCACUGGUGUUCGGGUUGUCAUGCCAAUGGCACUGCCCGGUAGCUAAAUGCGGAAGAGAUAAGUGCUGAAAGCAUCUAAGCACGAAACUUGCCCCGAGAUGAGUUCUCCCUGACCCUUUAAGGGUCCUGAAGGAACGUUGAAGACGACGACGUUGAUAGGCCGGGUGUGUAAGCGCAGCGAUGCGUUGAGCUAACCGGUACUAAUGAACCGUGAGGCUUAACCUU
Molecule: ribosomal RNA, 2902 nt
Filed under: Escherichia coli
Lineage: Bacteria; Pseudomonadati; Pseudomonadota; Gammaproteobacteria; Enterobacterales; Enterobacteriaceae
Description: bacterial LSU rRNA
Rfam family: Bacterial large subunit ribosomal RNA
Source: RNAcentral